Molecule: ribosomal RNA, 1679 nt
Filed under: Escherichia coli
Lineage: Bacteria; Pseudomonadati; Pseudomonadota; Gammaproteobacteria; Enterobacterales; Enterobacteriaceae
Description: partial 23S ribosomal RNA
Rfam family: Bacterial large subunit ribosomal RNA
Source: RNAcentral
AGGCAUGCUGGAGGUAUCAGAAGUGCGAAUGCUGACAUAAGUAACGAUAAAGCGGGUGAAAAGCCCGCUCGCCGGAAGACCAAGGGUUCCUGUCCAACGUUAAUCGGGGCAGGGUGAGUCGACCCCUAAGGCGAGGCCGAAAGGCGUAGUCGAUGGGAAACAGGUUAAUAUUCCUGUACUUGGUGUUACUGCGAAGGGGGGACGGAGAAGGCUAUGUUGGCCGGGCGACGGUUGUCCCGGUUUAAGCGUGUAGGCUGGUUUUCCAGGCAAAUCCGGAAAAUCAAGGCUGAGGCGUGAUGACGAGGCACUACGGUGCUGAAGCAACAAAUGCCCUGCUUCCAGGAAAAGCCUCUAAGCAUCAGGUAACAUCAAAUCGUACCCCAAACCGACACAGGUGGUCAGGUAGAGAAUACCAAGGCGCUUGAGAGAACUCGGGUGAAGGAACUAGGCAAAAUGGUGCCGUAACUUCGGGAGAAGGCACGCUGAUAUGUAGGUGAAGUCCCUCGCGGAUGGAGCUGAAAUCAGUCGAAGAUACCAGCUGGCUGCAACUGUUUAUUAAAAACACAGCACUGUGCAAACACGAAAGUGGACGUAUACGGUGUGACGCCUGCCCGGUGCCGGAAGGUUAAUUGAUGGGGUCAGCGCAAGCGAAGCUCUUGAUCGAAGCCCCGGUAAACGGCGGCCGUAACUAUAACGGUCCUAAGGUAGCGAAAUUCCUUGUCGGGUAAGUUCCGACCUGCACGAAUGGCGUAAUGAUGGCCAGGCUGUCUCCACCCGAGACUCAGUGAAAUUGAACUCGCUGUGAAGAUGCAGUGUACCCGCGGCAAGACGGAAAGACCCCGUGAACCUUUACUAUAGCUUGACACUGAACAUUGAGCCUUGAUGUGUAGGAUAGGUGGGAGGCUUUGAAGUGUGGACGCCAGUCUGCAUGGAGCCGACCUUGAAAUACCACCCUUUAAUGUUUGAUGUUCUAACGUUGACCCGUGAUCCGGGUUGCGGACAGUGUCUGGUGGGUAGUUUGACUGGGGCGGUCUCCUCCUAAAGAGUAACGGAGGAGCACGAAGGUUGGCUAAUCCUGGUCGGACAUCAGGAGGUUAGUGCAAUGGCAUAAGCCAGCUUGACUGCGAGCGUGACGGCGCGAGCAGGUGCGAAAGCAGGUCAUAGUGAUCCGGUGGUUCUGAAUGGAAGGGCCAUCGCUCAACGGAUAAAAGGUACUCCGGGGAUAACAGGCUGAUACCGCCCAAGAGUUCAUAUCGACGGCGGUGUUUGGCACCUCGAUGUCGGCUCAUCACAUCCUGGGGCUGAAGUAGGUCCCAAGGGUAUGGCUGUUCGCCAUUUAAAGUGGUACGCGAGCUGGGUUUAGAACGUCGUGAGACAGUUCGGUCCCUAUCUGCCGUGGGCGCUGGAGAACUGAGGGGGGCUGCUCCUAGUACGAGAGGACCGGAGUGGACGCAUCACUGGUGUUCGGGUUGUCAUGCCAAUGGCACUGCCCGGUAGCUAAAUGCGGAAGAGAUAAGUGCUGAAAGCAUCUAAGCACGAAACUUGCCCCGAGAUGAGUUCUCCCUGACUCCUUGAGAGUCCUGAAGGAACGUUGAAGACGACGACGUUGAUAGGCCGGGUGUGUAAGCGCAGCGAUGCGUUGAGCUAACCGGUACUAAUGAACCGUGAGGCUUAACCUU